AUCACUUCUCAGCUUUCGGCUCAGAUCAAGUGUAGAUGGCGUAAUUAUCACUUUCAGAGCUGCUGUAUCCUCACCCAAGGACAGCACAGCAAAUGGAAUUUUGGAAAGAGGAGAUGGAAUAGGGGCUUGUUCUAUCCGCUGUCCACACUGAACACUGCAGUAUUUCCGGAGGAAAU
This 176-nucleotide small nuclear RNA is filed under the name Cavia aperea (Brazilian guinea pig). RNAcentral describes it as "U2 spliceosomal RNA (ENSCAPG00000002169.1)". Lineage: Eukaryota; Metazoa; Chordata; Mammalia; Rodentia; Caviidae. The record is from RNAcentral.